This 367-nucleotide long non-coding RNA is filed under the name Ananas comosus (pineapple). RNAcentral describes it as "long non-coding RNA (ACOM_LNC016192)". The record is from RNAcentral. Lineage: Eukaryota; Viridiplantae; Streptophyta; Magnoliopsida; Poales; Bromeliaceae.
UUUUUUUCUUAAGGAGAGAAAUAGAUUUACUUCUUACUGGUGAUAUGGUAUAAUUAUGAUAUUAUAGACUUCCUGUCCAUAGUUAGUUAAUUCGGAUUCGGCAAAAAUUCGGUACGGAUAUAAUUCGGAUAUAAUUCGUUUUUUAAUUUUUAAAUUCGUUGAAAAAUACGGUUAAAAAACGGGUUCGGUAAUGAUUCGGAUACGUGAUUUAUACGGAUAUUAUACGUUCACCAAUUAAAAAUUCGGAAUCAAAAAUUCGGCUAUAUAAUAAAUAUAUAAUAAUUAAUAUAUUAUAUAAUUACAAAUUUAUAAAUAAAAUAUUAUAUAAAUAUUUCUAUAUAAAAAUAAAAUAAUAUAUAUAAUAAAU